GGUUUGUCUUGAAUGCCAACAUAGAUUUUGAGAUGACUAUGAUGUAGUAUGAUAGGAUGGUAUUCUCCUUUGAAUGAUUCAAGUGGCUUGACUUGGCGCAUGUUCAUGCAUGUAGUUGAAACAAAAUCAACAUAGCCUCUAUGAUGUUCGUGUUCGUGGUGAUUUAUAUCUUGUUCAUGCUUGCAUUCAAUGUUAGUCAAACUCAUUGCAUCUUGAUGACUGUUGUCGCUCUCUAGUUGGUCGCUUCCCAGUCUUUUGCUAGCCUUCACUUGUACUAAGCGGAAUACUGCUUGUGCAUCCACUUCCAUAAACCCAAAAGUUUUUCCAUGAGAGUCCACCAUACCUACCUAUUUGCGGUAU
This 360-nucleotide long non-coding RNA is filed under the name Hordeum vulgare. RNAcentral describes it as "long non-coding RNA (HVUL_LNC013837)". Lineage: Eukaryota; Viridiplantae; Streptophyta; Magnoliopsida; Poales; Poaceae. The record is from RNAcentral.